UUGAAAAAUAAAGUUGUGAGAGAGAGAGACACAGAGAAAGAAGGGCGAUCAGGGCCAGAUGCAGAGCCCAGAGCACACUGGAAAAGGUUACAGAGACAUCUGGAAGAACGGGGACUGAUGCUGGGGACCUUAGAUCUAAAAGAAUGAGGAGAUGGGCCACCAUGGCCUCUCCUCUACCCACACUUUCAACAUGAUCAUAUCGGCUUCGCUGGGACCUCGGGGCUCUCCGAGCUCCUUGGGAAGGAGAAUGGUGCUUCCUUCCACAAGGACCCGUUGCUAAACCACUGGGUGCAACCAGGAAAAUAAGACCUCCAAGAAAGAGCCAGAAUUGUGUCUGUAAAUGGAGAGUAAAGACAUCGUGGAUCCAUUACCAGAAAGUGUCCUGCAAUUACCUGAGAAUGUAUGAUUUCCAGAAAGUUCCAGGUGGCGAACAUAACUAAGCCUCCCCACAGAGACAGAUUUUGCUAAGCCCUAAGAGGAGUAUAGUUAGCUUUGAAGAAAGAGGAAGCCAGCAGCGGCCACUGUUUACUGAUUGUACUUCCGUACGUCCUAACUGGAUUCCAGGUUCCUGGCCUCAUUCAAAAGCAGAAAACUGCUCUGGUUAUAGUAACCGUCAGCCUUCGGGACAGUCUGGCCACUGCAAUCAGAGGGAGCCUCCCUUCACUCCUCUCGUUUACUUAACAAAUGUUUACCAGAAGUUCAGCCAAGUCUUCCUUACCCAUGAUCCUCUGCAACGACCGGCUUCCCAGCUCACUGAACUAAUGUAUCGCAAAUGCAGUCUAGAAACAAAUUUAGAUCAGAAUUCAAAGACAUUCUUCCCUUGUUAGCUGAAGAAGUCCUCUCGGAAAGAAUGACCAAGUUUUGUUUUCUCUAUAAAUUACUCUUUAAGUUA
Long non-coding RNA from Suricata suricatta (meerkat), 892 nucleotides. RefSeq lists it as uncharacterized. The transcript is spliced from 2 exons. NCBI's taxonomy places the organism in Eukaryota, Metazoa, Chordata, Mammalia, Carnivora, Herpestidae. The record is from RefSeq and is a predicted model, not a curated record.